GCGGGUAUAGUUUAGUGGUAAAAGUGUGAUUCGUUCUAUUAAUAACUGAAUUUGAAAUGAUAUACUUAAGGCAUCCUUAAGUUUUUUAUUUUUAUAUUCCGAUGAAAACUUUAGUUCUUAUAAAGGAUUAAAUCCUUUUCCUCUCA
Molecule: transfer RNA, 146 nt
Filed under: Triticum macha
Lineage: Eukaryota; Viridiplantae; Streptophyta; Magnoliopsida; Poales; Poaceae
Also listed under: 1 other name
Description: tRNA-OTHER
Source: RNAcentral